This 253-nucleotide ribosomal RNA is filed under the name uncultured bacterium. RNAcentral's name for it is "partial 16S ribosomal RNA". It matches the Rfam family "Bacterial small subunit ribosomal RNA", at positions 524 to 776 of the family's 1533-position model. The record is from RNAcentral.
UACGUAGGGUGCAGGCGUUAAUCGGAAUUACUGGGCGUAAAGCGUGCGCAGGCGGUUCGUUGUGUCCGAUGUGAAAGCCCCGAGCUUAACUUGGGAAUGGCAUUGGAAACUGGCGGGCUGGAGUGUGGCAGAGGGGGAUGGAAUUCCACGUGUAGCAGUGAAAUGCGUAGAGAUGUGGAGGAACACCGAUGGCGAAGGCAGCCCCCUGGGCUGACACUGACGCUCAGGCACGAAAGCGUGGGGAGCAAACAGG